RNAcentral lists this ribosomal RNA (253 nucleotides) under uncultured bacterium. RNAcentral's name for it is "partial 16S ribosomal RNA". It matches the Rfam family "Bacterial small subunit ribosomal RNA", at positions 524 to 776 of the family's 1533-position model. The record is from RNAcentral.
UACGUAGGUGGCGAGCGUUAUUCGGAUUUACUGGGCGUAAAGGGUCCGUAGGGGGAUAUAUAAGUCUGAUGUGAAAUUUCGGGGCUCAACCCCGAACCUGCAUUGGAAACUGUAUAUCUAGAAUCCGGUAGAGGUAAGUGGAAUUUGUGGUGUAGCGGUGGAAUGCGUAGAUAUCACAAGGAACACCAAAGGCGAAAGCAGCUUACUGGGCCGGUAUUGACCCUGAGGGACGAAAGCUAAGGUAGCGAAAAGG